RNAcentral lists this long non-coding RNA (302 nucleotides) under Homo sapiens (human). RNAcentral describes it as "HSALNT0393267". The record is from RNAcentral. Lineage: Eukaryota; Metazoa; Chordata; Mammalia; Primates; Hominidae.
GCCAGAGCUCGGGACUGGUGCUGACCUGCAGGAUGGAGGAGAGAAGAGAAGACUCAUCAACAGAACAAAUGUUGCUGGAACAUUACUUAUAAUGGCAACAAUUGGAAACAAUCAAAGGAUGUCACUAUAGGGACUUGGGUUAAGAAAAUUAUGACACAUCAAAAGAGGCUACGAGAAGAUCUGGUUAAGAGUAUCCUAAGGGAGGAUCUAAGCCUGUUCAUACUCUACAAGCAAAGAAACGAAGAAACACAAGAUUUAAGGUUGUUUGUCAACUGACAGCCCUUUCUAUCAACAACUAAAUA